UUAAAAAUAGACUAAGUUAAGUCAUUGGAUUCAUAAUUCAAAAAUAUAAUUAUUAUUUUUUAAU
This 64-nucleotide transfer RNA is filed under the name Trichogramma chilonis. Its description in RNAcentral is "tRNA-Met". The record is from RNAcentral. Lineage: Eukaryota; Metazoa; Arthropoda; Insecta; Hymenoptera; Trichogrammatidae.